This 199-nucleotide long non-coding RNA is filed under the name Vigna radiata. Its description in RNAcentral is "long non-coding RNA (VRAD_LNC002466)". Lineage: Eukaryota; Viridiplantae; Streptophyta; Magnoliopsida; Fabales; Fabaceae. The record is from RNAcentral.
GUCCCUUAACCGCAUUUCGAAAUGCAGCACCCUUAACCGCAUUUCAAAGUGCGGCACCCCUUAACCGCAUUUCGAAGUGCGGUUGGUUUAUUUUGGGGGUGCAUCUUCGUUGUCCGCAGUUCACAUUGCGGCUGAAGCGAAACGCGGUUCGCAGUUUGCAACCUUCACGAGCUGUCUCUUCUUCUUUCUCUCCUCCAAU